This 260-nucleotide long non-coding RNA is filed under the name Lathyrus oleraceus (garden pea). RNAcentral's name for it is "Pisum sativum (pea) long non-coding RNA (PSAT_LNC024169)". The record is from RNAcentral. Lineage: Eukaryota; Viridiplantae; Streptophyta; Magnoliopsida; Fabales; Fabaceae.
UUUGACUUAAUGAACCUAUUUGCAAAAAGUGCUAAGUGGAGCAAAUGAAAAUGGAGGUGUGUAUUGGGCACGAAUUGGGCUUGAAUUAUGCUGCCAAAGACCUACAGGUUUGCUGUUUGAAACCUACUCAUGAAUUGCUCACUUGGUUUUUACUCUUUGAAGCCAAUUGCACACUUUUGUCAAUUUUGCCUUUUGGCCAAAAUAGUGAUAUGACAAUGGUAUGAACAUGAAAUGAUGCUUGGAACAUGUCACAAAUAAUG